UAAUUUUUUUUGGUCCCGUCAAGUGUUAUGCUUCUAUAGGAAAUCUUUAAAGGACGGUCAUUAUUUCCGGUCUCUUCGGUGACCGUUAUAUGGAAGUUUUACUGUAUUAUCACACAUGAAAAUGGGUUUUCAUCAGUUCAAUACAUUCUUCAACAUUUAAAUGACGGUGGUAUAUGCUUAUGGUAAUCGAUGAAUUUUGUUCACUCUUUUUCGAAAGUGGCUGUGUCU
Molecule: non-coding RNA, 228 nt
Organism: Cinara cedri
Lineage: Eukaryota; Metazoa; Arthropoda; Insecta; Hemiptera; Aphididae
Source: the annotation of a GenBank genome assembly